CUUUUGAAACAUGGCUAGAGGCAACUGUCAGUGGAAGUUAAAGAUGUGCCAAGAAAUGAAGGGAUGAGGUAGUCAUCACACUAAAAAUAAUAAAAGCAGUUAGAGUCAGGGAAGACUGAAAUGCCCAUCUGUGCCCGAUGCCAGCAACGGUCAGCGGUCAGGGGAAGAGAUGGAGAGCUGGUAGCUGGACUGGAAACUCAGGUACAGGAACCCAGAACCCGCUUGCCUCUGUUGGGUCACCGAGGAACCACACGUGUGCAGCCUCUGGGGAUCAGGACCAGGGUAAUGGAUUUGUGCCAUCACAGAGUCAGGCCGAAAACAAAGUCCUUGCCACCAAAUGGAGGAUUAGUACAGAUGGAGCGGCAGAACUAAACUGCUGACCUCGUGAGCUGCUGUCAUCAUUUGCCAGACUCUCCACCCAGCUCUGCCGACUGUGCAGGGAAGUCCCCUCUGGUGCCUGAAACCCUCCCAACCCAACAAACGACCCCUGAGGACACUUGCCCAUCCUCCUUUGUCCACAGGCUUCCCCUUCCGGCCUCUCUCUCCACCUGUCCGGCUCCUAACCACCUGGAAAACCACAAGUGUGCACUUUCCAGCUUGAAUGUAUGGGCAGUUCAUUUCUAAAGCCCCUCAUACUUUUCUGCAAAACCUUUAAAAAGAGCAGACGGAUAGACGAGGCCAAAAUGAGCACACAGAUCUUACCUGGCCCGUCAAAGAUGCUCCAAUCUGUGAAAACAGGACUUUAUAAAUGUCACUCUGUUAAUACCAGGUCAAAUGUUCCUAAUCACUAGAAAAUAAAGUAAGAUUUCUGUCAAGUUAAAUGCCAUUGUUCUAAUCAUUAGAUCCUGGCAUCUGAAAAUAAGAGAGAAUGUGUCUUCUCUGCUGUGAAUGACAAGCCAUGAGCCAUCCCUACUGUUAACUGACAGCUGUUUAAUAAGCCAUAUGAUUGAAUAAAGCUUGUCUUUCAGCCUAACUAGUGGCUCAUAUCAGUCCCUAAACACCUGCUGAAAGUGAAAGUCACUCAGUCAUGUCCAACUCUUUGCAACCCCAUGGGCUAUAAAGUCCAUGGAAUUCUCCAGGCCAGAAUACUGGAGUGGGUAGCCUAUCCCUUCUCCAGCAGAUCUUCCCACCCUAGGAAUCGAACCAGGGUCUCCUGCAUUGCAGGCGGAUUCUUUACCAACUGAGCUAUCAGGAAAGCAUAACGUCAUAUCCUGUUACCGCCACAGUCACGAAAACCUUAAACAAGGUUGUAAAACGGACAUUUCUUUUUUUUUUUUUUUUUCUCCCAGUAAUUGAAUUUGGAAUGUUUCAGGUUACUGAGACAAUCAAGCAAAGAAGGGUUAGAUAUCAUUUCUAGGUGUCACACCAAAUGCUUUGGGAAUGCCUCUUUUUUGUUGGCUUCAUAUGGUUUGGGGCUUUGUUUUCCAUUCCUAUAACUGAUGCUGAAGUAGUUAAAUGCAGUGCUCCUUGUCUUCCAAGAGUUUAUCACCCAAAGAAGGCAGUGGGAUCAACCACCAUGAAACAACUAGAGCAGGCGGGACAGUCAGGAACUGCAUGAUGGUGGCUUUCUGAAUGAAGAACAUCCCUGAGAGCUGGCACAAUCAGGGAGAACUUCCUGGGGAGAUGUUCCUGCUGGGCAGAACCCUCCCAUGAUAAGAGAAGACAGACCGUGAGGUGGCCCUGGACCAUGGCAGGUGAGCACCAAGGUCAGUCCCUGGAGGACCUCAAGAGGCAGUGGUGGGGGACCUCGUGCCUUGCGAUACAUGUGGUGAUGGAAGAUGAAUGAGCAAAGAGACAGAUGAAAGUAACCUUUGAGGAAGGUUAAUCUGGCUGUAGUGCACAAAAUGUGGGGAGAAAUGAGGAGAAUUGUCUGGCCAUUCGUCUGUAAGGCUGUCGCACUGAUUCUGGGGUGACGGUCACAACCUCUCCUAAAAAGACACACCUAGAAAAAAUUGAGUGGAAAUAACAGGACUUGGUGAUCUGAGGAAUAGUGAAGGUAUCUUUGGGGCUUGGAAUCUGUGGUUCUCCCUGUUUUCCAGAAAAACCAAUGACUUUGAGUCAGCUUUGGG
Long non-coding RNA from Capra hircus (goat), 2069 nucleotides. Lineage: Eukaryota; Metazoa; Chordata; Mammalia; Artiodactyla; Bovidae. The record is from Ensembl.